ACUCACGGGAGGGAGAAAUCAUAUAUGAGAUUAAAUUAUUGAAUUACAGCAGUGGAUAUUACAAGAGAAACAUCAUCCAAAUGUGAUGCAUAAUCUAAAUAGUUUCUUGACAUUGAAACUGAAAUUUAAAGCAUCCAUCAACAUCCCUAAAACAUAACUAAAACAUAACCGGGGAACAUCAUCCCUACAACUUAAUUAAAACUAGAAGCGUCCAUCAUCAUCUUCAGCAUCAUCAUCAGGACCUUCAUCAUCAUAAUUGCAGUAUACUUGUCACACACCCAUAUAAUGACCCAUUUAUCUUUUCAAUCUACAAACAAAGAGCCAAAACAAACUGUUAACACACAAUGCAUUGAAAUGAUGCAAGUAGUGACAGAGGCAGGAUAUUAGUCGCGUACAAAUAUUACUGAAGUUGUAACCAUGAAAGAAUUGCAAAGCUUAGCUUGUAAAUACCUAAUUUGCAAUUUAAGUUCCUACCCUCGUACAAAUGAAAUACACAAGUAUAUCGCUUUCCGACAAUGCAAGGAUCAUCCUCUCAGCCUUCGCAACAUAGCAGACAGAAUUUUCUUCAAACAUCAUAAAAAAAUAUAGUAAGAUCAUUGUACUAUGCAUACUGAAGUUCACACCAUUCUAAAGAAAAUAAACAGUGUUUGUGUUGAAUUAGCCUGAUCAAACCCUUAAAGAGUUACAAAUAUAUGCAUCUGUCAUUUAGUUUACUCCUAACAGAAAAUUAUGAACUUACUUCCACUAGAAAUUUCAUCUAGUUUGUAUAUUAGUAUAUCACUAACAAGAUUUCAAAGUCAUGGGAUCAAAGAGAUUCGAUAUGAUGUACUUACAACCAAAGCUCCAUUCACUGUAGCAUUGUAGUGUUGAAUAGGCCAUUACCAUAGAUGCAAAUCUAGAAGUACGUUAAUAUGUAUAUGAAAUUUACAAUCUUACUUAUAUUUUGUUCUUGCCCCUUUUGUUGAAGUACAACAUGUCACAAUAUUUAGAUUAGUAUAUAUAUGUGCAGAGGUAGCAAAGUAGCCAGCUAAAAAACAAUUAAUGCAAGCUGCAAAAUAUUGAUCCGAAAUACAUAUGAGAAGGCACUGCCUUUGCACAGAUCAUUCAGUUACAGCUAUAUAAACUUAUCAAACUACAUUUAAACAGAAGGACACAUAUUUUUUUUGUGCCAUAGCCUUGAAUGCAUAAUUCAAUUCAAGAAAACGCAAUCACCAAACAGAUGUAGAGAAGCAAAAGUUGCAGUAUACCUGAUCAUAUAUAAUACAUGUCAUUUCUUAAUCACGUGUCCGCACCAAUAUACCUAAAAAGUUGCAGUGGCAUGGAAAAAAUAUAGGGGAGAGAUGCAGCCUUCCAGUGAACUGCGUUUUGCAGCUAUAAGCAAGUUUGUAAUAAUAUAUAAUCAGGUGAGAGGAGAGUUAGACCAACACAUCUUAUUAUGGGG
RNAcentral lists this long non-coding RNA (1441 nucleotides) under Triticum aestivum (bread wheat). RNAcentral describes it as "long non-coding RNA (TAES_LNC025464)". The record is from RNAcentral. Lineage: Eukaryota; Viridiplantae; Streptophyta; Magnoliopsida; Poales; Poaceae.